CCUACGGGAGGCAGCAGUAGGGAAUCUUGCUCAAUGGGGGAAACCCUAAUGCAGCAACGCCGCGUGGAGGAUGAAGGUUUUCGGAUUGUAAACUCCUUUUGUAAGAGAAGAUUAUGAUGGUAUCUAAUGAAUAAGCAUCGGCUAACUCCGUGCCAGCAGCCGCGGUAAUACGGAGGGUGCAAGCGUUACUCGGAAUCACUGGGCGUAAAGAGUGCGUAGGGGGGCAAGCAAGUCAGAUGUGAAAUCCUAGGGCUUAACCAUUAAACUGCAUUUGAAACUGUUAUUCUAGAGUAUGGGAGAGGUAGGUGGAAUUCUUAGUGUAGGAGUAAAAUCCGUAGAGAUCAAGAGGAAUACUCAUUGCGAAGGCGAGCUGCUGGGACGUAACUGACGCUGAUGCGCGAAAGCGUAGGGAGCAAACAGGAUUAGAUACCCGUGUAGUC
RNAcentral lists this ribosomal RNA (440 nucleotides) under uncultured bacterium. RNAcentral's name for it is "partial 16S ribosomal RNA". It matches the Rfam family "Bacterial small subunit ribosomal RNA", at positions 338 to 795 of the family's 1533-position model. The record is from RNAcentral.